GCCUGGUUGGCUCAGUUGGGAGAGCAUGCAACUCUUGAUCUCAGGGUCACGAGUUCAAGUCCCAUAUUGGGCG
This 73-nucleotide transfer RNA is filed under the name Felis catus (domestic cat). It matches the Rfam family "tRNA". Rfam says of the family: Transfer RNA (tRNA) molecules are approximately 80 nucleotides in length. Their secondary structure includes four short double-helical elements and three loops (D, anti-codon, and T loops). Further hydrogen bonds mediate the characteristic L-shaped molecular structure. tRNAs have two regions of fundamental functional importance: the anti-codon, which is responsible for specific mRNA codon recognition, and the 3' end, to which the tRNAs corresponding amino acid is attached (by aminoacyl-tRNA synthetases). tRNAs cope with the degeneracy of the genetic code in two manners: having more than one tRNA (with a specific anti-codon) for a particular amino acid; and 'wobble' base-pairing, i.e. permitting non-standard base-pairing at the 3rd anti-codon position. The record is from Rfam by way of RNAcentral. Lineage: Eukaryota; Metazoa; Chordata; Mammalia; Carnivora; Felidae. RNAcentral also lists the same sequence under 4 other names.